This 301-nucleotide ribosomal RNA is filed under the name uncultured bacterium. Its description in RNAcentral is "partial 16S ribosomal RNA". It matches the Rfam family "Bacterial small subunit ribosomal RNA", at positions 509 to 809 of the family's 1533-position model. The record is from RNAcentral.
CAGCAGCCACGGUAAGACAGAGGAUGCAAGCGUUAAUCGGAUUUACUGGGCGUAAAGCGUGCGUAGGCGGCUUCUUAAGUCGGAUGUGAAAUCCCUGAGCUUAACUUAGGAAUUGCAUUCGAUACUGGGAAGCUAGAGUAUGGGAGAGGAUGGUAGAAUUCCAGGUGUAGCGGUGAAAUGCGUAGAGAUCUGGAGGAAUACCGAUGGCGAAGGCAGCCAUCUGGCCUAAUACUGACGCUGAGGUACGAAAGCAUGGGGAGCAAACAGGAUUAGAUACCCCAGUAGUCCCUGUCUCUUAUAA